ACGGAGAGUUUGAUCCUGGCUCAGAACGAACGCUGGCGGCGUGGAUUAGGCAUGCAAGUCGAACGCGAAAGAGGGGGAAACUCCUCGAGUAGAGUGGCGAACGGGUGAGUAACGCGUGAAGAACCUGCCUUCGAGAGGGGGAUAACACUCCCAACGGGGUGCUAAUACCGCAUGAGACCACGGAUCCGCAUGAAUCCGAGGUCAAAGGUGGCCUCUAUUUAUAAGCUACCACUCG
This 235-nucleotide ribosomal RNA is filed under the name Candidatus Eiseniibacteriota bacterium. RNAcentral describes it as "Candidatus Eisenbacteria bacterium partial 16S ribosomal RNA". It matches the Rfam family "Bacterial small subunit ribosomal RNA", at positions 1 to 221 of the family's 1533-position model. The record is from RNAcentral. Lineage: Bacteria; Candidatus Eiseniibacteriota.